This 720-nucleotide ribosomal RNA is filed under the name Triticum aestivum (bread wheat). RNAcentral's name for it is "partial small subunit ribosomal RNA". The record is from RNAcentral. Lineage: Eukaryota; Viridiplantae; Streptophyta; Magnoliopsida; Poales; Poaceae.
AUGAAGGUUGCUCUUGGGGCUGCCAAGGGGCUCGCGUUUCUCCAUAGCGACAAGGCCCAUGUCAUCUACCGUGAUUUCAACACAUCAAAUGUUUUUCUUGAUUCCAGCUAUAAUGCAAAGCUGUCCAAUUUUGGGUUGGCGAGGAUGGGUAUGAACACAGAUGGACAUACAGCCCCUGAAUAUCUUGAUACAGGAUAUCUGACGAUGAAGAGCGACGUGUACAGCUUCGGUGCGGUGCUGCUGGAGAUUCUAGCAGGCCGGCCAGCCCUAGACAAGAACCGGCCCUCCAUCGAGCAUAACCUGGUGGAAUGGGCGCGGCAGUACCUGACGAGCAAGAGCCGCAUCUCUCACAUCCUAGAUGCGCAGCUGGGCGGCCAGUACCCCCUCGCCUGUGCGCAUCAGGCUGCCGCACUGGUGCUCCAAUGCAUCUCCGUCCACCCAAGGGACCGCCCGGGCAUGGAGCAGGUGGUGGAGGUGCUGGGGCAGCUCCAGGACGCCAACGAGACUGGGGCGAGCAGUCAGGGUGAUGUACGGCCGGGUAUGGAGCAGGUGGUGGCGGUGCUGGGCCAUCAGCUCCAGGACAACAAGGAGACCGUGGCGAGCGGUCAGCAGAAGGUGAGUGGUGGUGGUGGCGGUGCCUGUGGCUUCUUCAGGAUGUGUGGCGGUGGCCGGCAGCAGCAGCCAGUGGCGAGGCGGCUGCGCGCCGAUGAGCAGAGAUGA